AACGAACGCUGGCGGCAGGCCUAACACAUGCAAGUCGAGCGAUACCAGCAAUGGUGGAGCGGCAGACGGGUGAGUAACACGUGGGAACGUACCCUUCGGUUCGGAGUAACUCAGGGAAACUUGAGCUAAUACCGGAUACGUCCGAGAGGAGAAAGAUUUAUCGCCGAAGGAUCGGCCCGCGUCUGAUUAGCUAGUUGGUGAGGUAAUGGCUCACCAAGGCGACGAUCAGUAGCUGGUCUGAGAGGAUGAUCAGCCACAUUGGGACUGAGACACGGCCCAAACUCCUACGGGAGGCAGCAGUGGGGAAUAUUGGACAAUGGGCGCAAGCCUGAUCCAGCCAUGCCGCGUGAGUGAUGAAGGCCUUAGGGUUGUAAAGCUCUUUACCUGGGAAGAUAAUGACGGUACCGGGUGAGGAAGCACCGGCUAACUCUGUGCCAGCAGCCGCAGUAAU
RNAcentral lists this ribosomal RNA (451 nucleotides) under uncultured bacterium. RNAcentral describes it as "bacterial SSU rRNA". It matches the Rfam family "Bacterial small subunit ribosomal RNA", at positions 29 to 524 of the family's 1533-position model. The record is from RNAcentral.